This 203-nucleotide small RNA is filed under the name Arabidopsis thaliana (thale cress). RNAcentral describes it as "ATSL100170". The record is from RNAcentral. Lineage: Eukaryota; Viridiplantae; Streptophyta; Magnoliopsida; Brassicales; Brassicaceae.
AGUUGUAAUUUGAUUUAAUUCUAAGAAUACACCCGUGGUAUCAAGAUCUGCCCCAUCUAAACUCAUAGCACUAUAUAAACUCGUCUCAUCCAAACAUGUUCUACUAUGUAAACCCGUCUCAUCUAAAUCCAUCCUGCAAUAUUAAUCCGUCCCCUGAUAACUAAAAAUUAAAUUGUUCUUUUCUUAUUUUUAAUAAUAUUUUU